CAUCUUUAGUUCCGGAACGCGUUCCUGUCCAAAAAGGAAGUACCGGAACGACGUUCCGGAGCGUUCCGGCUGGACAACACCACUGCGUACGAAUAUAUUUGUAUAAAUAUCUUCAUCAUUUGGUUAGCAUGAAGUCAGCAUUGACAUAUUUCAGUAAUUAGUUUAGGUAUCGCGAGACCAACACGGUGACAGUUGCAAUAGGUUUUUCAGGCAUCCUGAGACUAAAAUUUGACAACUGCAUUUCUGUAGAUUUGCAUUUGCAGUUGUCAUCUUAGUCAUUGACUUCGGUCAAUUGACAAUUGUUUUAGGGCUACAACCUUAGGUUUCACGACCUAAAACCGUAGUAGUCCUCCCUUGACCAGCAAUAGUCGAGGGAAUCUCAAUCAAAUCAGUACCAAUUUUCCAUCCUUUGUUGCUGACUUUACGCCAGCUUUGCACCCAGAGCUUUUAUUUUGGGUUUCAAAAGCCUAAAAUCAAAGCAGUCACUCCUUUUCAGGCAUCGCGGUACCAAAAUUGGCAAUUGUAUUUGUGUAGGUUUGCAUUUGCAGUUAUCAGUUUAGUCAUUGAUUGUCAAUUUUUUGUGGGCUACAACCUUAGGUUUUACGACCUAAAACCGUAGUUCAUUUUUAAUUUAAUUUGUACAAAAACUCUGUUUCAUUUUAACUCAACAAUGUAAAUGUUGUUUUUAUUUUUUAUUUAUUAAGGAGCCGAAACGUCAAAAAUUGACUAAAAUCCAAUAGGUUGUCUGCUUUACAAAACCCGGUCAUUAAGAAAACCAUGUGAUUUUAUACUCACAGCAAACGCUAAGAAAGAAGCAUAUUACUUCUUUUGUUAAUAGAAUGUCGAACCACCCGCUGUUUUGUUAGAAUUGAACGUUAAAAAACCUGGAUAGCAUUGCCUUGGUUGUGUCAGUGUUCAUUCGGUUCAGAAAGUAGCUGUCCUAACAAAAGUGCCUUUUCUCGAUUGGGAACGGAUGCAGUGUGGCAUUGCUGAAGGAAAGAUUUAUGACGAACGAACUGAUUGUCCAAGUGAGAAGAAAUUACAGCUAAUUCUGAUGGUACUGAAAGAGUCGAUGCUUUUAACGUCUUGCCCUUGCAACAUAAUUUUGAACCUGAGAGGGAGAGGCAUUUGAAAAUUACUUUGGAAACGACUGAAACAACAACUUGUCUGCAGUGGUAUUCCUUCUGGAUUUGGCUUGUUCAUUCUACCUGUGGACCUUAGGAAGCUACUUUCUGCAGUUAAUUAAGAUUGCCCAACAAAUGAGUUCAAUUUGGCGCUACUCGAACAACUGUCUACAUGGGUGUGGUCUUUUCUGGACUUUGUUCCUGAUUUGAUAUUUUCAUCUUCACUUCUCCACACUAUGCAGUUGAUUUUCAACUAAGGAUCUAUUUGAUUUCAAAUGGAACAACGAAAUUUCUGCUAUGGUGCUUCUCCUGGAUUUAGUUUGCUCUUCACACCUGCAAACUGUUGCAGUCUGCAGUUAAUUAAGAUCGACGUUGGAGAAGACAAAGACAAAGAUGACCCCAUAGUUGAAAUAAUAGUUCUUUUAUCUUGCAUG
RNAcentral lists this long non-coding RNA (1558 nucleotides) under Agrilus planipennis (emerald ash borer). Its description in RNAcentral is "uncharacterized LOC108740462, transcript variant X1". Lineage: Eukaryota; Metazoa; Arthropoda; Insecta; Coleoptera; Buprestidae. The record is from RNAcentral.